This 441-nucleotide ribosomal RNA is filed under the name Pseudomonas sp. RNAcentral describes it as "bacterial SSU rRNA". It matches the Rfam family "Bacterial small subunit ribosomal RNA", at positions 385 to 819 of the family's 1533-position model. Lineage: Bacteria; Pseudomonadati; Pseudomonadota; Gammaproteobacteria; Pseudomonadales; Pseudomonadaceae. The record is from RNAcentral.
CNGUNNGCCAUGCCGCGUGUGUGAAGAAGGUCUUCGGAUUGUAAAGCACUUUAAGUUGGGAGGAAGGGCAGUAAGUUAAUACCUUGCUGUUUUGACGUUACCGACAGAAUAAGCACCGGCUAACUCUGUGCCAGCAGCCGCGGUAAUACAGAGGGUGCAAGCGUUAAUCGGAAUUACUGGGCGUAAAGCGCGCGUAGGUGGUUUGUUAAGUUGGAUGUGAAAGCCCCGGGCUCAACCUGGGAACUGCAUCCAAAACUGGCAAGCUAGAGUACGGUAGAGGGUGGUGGAAUUUCCUGUGUAGCGGUGAAAUGCGUAGAUAUAGGAAGGAACACCAGUGGCGAAGGCGACCACCUGGACUGAUACUGACACUGAGGUGCGAAAGCGUGGGGAGCAAACAGGAUUAGAAACCCUUGUAGUCCAGACCAAGUCUCUGCUACCGUA